This 586-nucleotide long non-coding RNA is filed under the name Gossypium raimondii (Peruvian cotton). Its description in RNAcentral is "long non-coding RNA (GRAI_LNC008597)". The record is from RNAcentral. Lineage: Eukaryota; Viridiplantae; Streptophyta; Magnoliopsida; Malvales; Malvaceae.
CCACAAAACACAACUGCAAGAGCCUCAAAUCUCCGAGAAACCUUUCGGUUUCCGACCAUUCAUGGCGGUUCUGGGCACCACUCAGGUCGUUUUUUCCUUUUUCUAUUUUAUUCGUAUGUAUACAAAAAAAUAGUAAAUAGCAGUAGAUUAUAGAAAUCAACCUUUUUUUUUAUUGAUGUUUGCACUAUUAAUAUUCUGAUGUUUUGCUGUGAGAAUAAAAACCCUUCUCUUUAUUGAUUUUCCAAAUAGGAUCCUUAUUACAAUGUGUUAAGAUUGCUUUCAUAGCAAUCUUAAAAAUACAAAGAAAUCUGCUAAUAUCUGUUUGAUUUGAUUUCGAAAUCCUUGAUUUUCUUUCCUUUCUUGUGUUUGCAGGUGAAGAUCGCUCGGAGAUUCGGACUAGGUGGCUGCGGCGCGAGUUCUCCUCAGAAAACCUAGGGUUUCUGCCAUUGUUUUGGGCCACUAGAUUUGAGCCUCUACUUUAUUUCAAUUUGGGCCAUGUAUUCUGGGCCCAUUAUUUUUUUUAGAUUUAGCUUUGUAAACACAAACUGGACAUUUUAUUUUAUUUAUAUUUAUAAAAAGGGCCGGG